AGAACGAACGCUGGCGGCAUGCCUAAUACAUGCAAGUCGAACGAACACUUCGGUGUUAGUGGCGCACGGGUGCGUAACGCGUGGGAAUCUGCCCUUGGGUUCGGAAUAACAGUUGGAAACGACUGCUAAUACCGGAUGAUAUCGAAAGAUCAAAGAUUUAUCGCCCAGGGAUGAGCCCGCGUAGGAUUAGCUAGUUGGUGAGGUAAAGGCUCACCAAGGCGACGAUCCUUAGCUGGUCUGAGAGGAUGAUCAGCCACACUGGGACUGAGACACGG
Molecule: ribosomal RNA, 275 nt
Filed under: uncultured soil bacterium
Lineage: Bacteria
Description: partial 16S ribosomal RNA
Rfam family: Bacterial small subunit ribosomal RNA
Source: RNAcentral